UGAGUAAUGCUUAGGAAUCUGCCUAUUAGUGGGGGACAACGUUCCGAAAGGAGCGCUAAUACCGCAUACGUCCUACGGGAGAAAGCAGGGGACCUUUGGGCCUUGCGCUAAUAGAUGAGCCUAAGUCGGAUUAGCUAGUUGGUAGGGUAAAGGCCUACCAAGGCGACGAUCUGUAGCGGGUCUGAGAGGAUGAUCCGCCACACUGGGACUGAGACACGGCCCAGACUCCUACGGGAGGCAGCAGUGGGGAAUAUUGGACAAUGGGGGGAACCCUGAUCCAGCCAUGCCGCGUGUGUGAAGAAGGCCUUUUGGUUGUAAAGCACUUUAAGCGAGGAGGAGGCUACCUAGAUUAAUACUUUAGGAUAGUGGACGUUACUCGCAGAAUAAGCACCGGCUAACUCUGUGCCAGCAGCCGCGGUAAUACAGAGGGUGCGAGCGUUAAUCGGAUUUACUGGGCGUAAAGCGUGCGUAGGCGGCCAAUUAAGUCAAAUGUGAAAUCCCCGAGCUUAACUUGGGAAUUGCAUUCGAUACUGGUUGGCUAGAGUAUGGGAGAGGAUGGUAGAAUUCCAGGUGUAGCGGUGAAAUGCGUAGAGAUCUGGAGGAAUACCGAUGGCGAAGGCAGCCAUCUGGCCUAAUACUGACGCUGAGGUACGAAAGCAUG
Molecule: ribosomal RNA, 661 nt
Filed under: Acinetobacter radioresistens
Lineage: Bacteria; Pseudomonadati; Pseudomonadota; Gammaproteobacteria; Moraxellales; Moraxellaceae
Description: bacterial SSU rRNA
Rfam family: Bacterial small subunit ribosomal RNA
Source: RNAcentral